RNAcentral lists this ribosomal RNA (449 nucleotides) under uncultured bacterium. RNAcentral's name for it is "partial 16S ribosomal RNA". It matches the Rfam family "Bacterial small subunit ribosomal RNA", at positions 29 to 523 of the family's 1533-position model. The record is from RNAcentral.
AACGAACGCUGGCGGCAUGCCUAACACAUGCAAGUCGAACGAGAUCUUCGGGUCUAGUGGCGCACGGGUGCGUAACGCGUGGGAAUCUGCCCUUUGGUUCGGAAUAACAGUUGGAAACGACUGCUAAUACCGGAUGAUGACGAAAGUCCAAAGAUUUAUCGCCAGAGGAUGAGCCCGUGUAGGAUUAGCUAGUUGGUGUGGUAAAGGCGCACCAAGGCGACGAUCCUUAGCUGGUCUGAGAGGAUGAUCAGCCACACUGGGACUGAGACACGGCCCAGACUCCUGCGGGAGGCAGCAGUGGGGAAUAUUGGACAAUGGGCGAAAGCCUGAUCCAGCAAUGCCGCGUGAGUGAUGAAGGCCUUAGGGUUGUAAAGCUCUUUUACCCGGGAUGAUAAUGACAGUACCGGGAGAAUAAGCUCCGGCUAACUCCGUGCCAGCAGCCACAGUAA